UGUCCAUGACAACAGAUUGAGGGUAAAUUUAUUGAAAAAUCUUUAUUAGCAUUCAAAAUAAAUGUCACAAAAUGUUGUAUACUACUUUUAAGAUGCCACGGCAUUACUUGUUUUGGUUAUGCAAGACUAAUGUGAUUUUGUUUCAACAAUAGCCAAUCUCACAUCCAAUUGUGUUAGCAAGACCUUUUACUUUCUUUCUUAUGCUCUUGUUGGAUGGGUUCGGCUUGUAUUUUUUGUGCGAAAGAAUGAUUGAUCUUCUUUUGCUAUGUCAAUCAUUGGAUUGC
RNAcentral lists this long non-coding RNA (284 nucleotides) under Elaeis guineensis (African oil palm). RNAcentral's name for it is "long non-coding RNA (EGUI_LNC079757)". The record is from RNAcentral. Lineage: Eukaryota; Viridiplantae; Streptophyta; Magnoliopsida; Arecales; Arecaceae.